GGGGCAGCAUGUCGGUUGCUUGCAACCGAUGAUGGCGACCGGCGCACGGGUGAGUAACACGUAUCCAACCUGCCCUUCACCACGGAAUAAUCCAGUGAAAAUUGGUCUAAUACCGUAUGAGGUCAUACGAUGGCAUCAGAAUAUGACGAAAGGUUUGGCGGUGAAGGAUGGGGAUGCGUCUGAUUAGCUUGUUGGUGAGGUAACGGCUCACCAAGGCGACGAUCAGUAGGGGUUCUGAGAGGAAGGUCCCCCACAUUGGAACUGAGACACGGUCCAAACUCCUACGGGAGGCAGCAGUGAGGAAUAUUGGUCAAUGGGCGAGAGCCUGAACCAGCCAAGUAGCGUGCAGGAAGACGGCCCUAUGGGUUGUAAACUGCUUUUAUAUGGGGAUAAAGUGAGUUACGUGUAGCUUAUUGCAGGUACCAUAUGAAUAAGGACCGGCUAAUUCCGUGCCAGCAGCCGCGGUAAUACGGAAGGUCCAGGCGUUAUCCGGAUUUAUUGGGUUUAAAGGGAGCGUAGGCCGCCCCUUAAGCGUGUUGUGAAAUGCCGCGGCUCAACCGUGGCACUGCAGCGCGAACUGGGGGGCUUGAGUGCACGCAACGCAGGCGGAAUUCGUGGUGUAGCGGUGAAAUGCUUAGAUAUCACGAAGAACUCCGAUUGCGAAGGCAGCUUGCGGGAGUGCGACUGACGCUGAAGCUCGAAGGUGCGGGUAUCGAACAGGAUUAGAUACCCUGGUAGUCCGCACAGUAAACGAUGGAUGCCCGCUGUGUGUCUUAAUGGUACGCGGCCAAGCGAAAGCGUUAAGCAUCCCACCU
Molecule: ribosomal RNA, 815 nt
Filed under: uncultured bacterium
Lineage: Bacteria
Description: bacterial SSU rRNA
Rfam family: Bacterial small subunit ribosomal RNA
Source: RNAcentral